Molecule: long non-coding RNA, 87 nt
Organism: Drosophila navojoa
Lineage: Eukaryota; Metazoa; Arthropoda; Insecta; Diptera; Drosophilidae
Source: RefSeq, a predicted model, not a curated record
AAGUUUUAAGUUUUGAUCGCCCUGAAAGCAAACUAUCGUACCUUUGCUUCAGGGUGACCAAAAUAAGGUAUCAUCAAAUCAUUUAAU